UGGGGAAUAUUGGCCAAUGGGCGAAAUCCUGAUCCAGCCAUGCCGCGUGUGUGAAGAAGGUCUUCGGAUUGUAAAGCACUUUAAGUUGGGAGGAAGGGCAUUAACCUAAUACGUUAGUGUUUUGACGUUACCGACAGAAUAAGCACCGGCUAACUCUGUGCCAGCAGCCGCGGUAAUACAGAGGGAGCAAGCGUUAAUAGGAAUUACUGGGCGUAAAGCGCGCGUAGGUGGUUUGUUAAGUUGGAUGUGAAAGCCCCGGGCUCAACCUGGGAACUGCAUCCAAAACUGGCAAGCUAGAGUACGGUAGAGGGUGGUGGAAUUUCCUGUGUAGCGGUGAAAUGCGUAGAUAUAGGAAGGAACACCAGUGGCGAAGGCGACCACCUGGACUGAUACUGACACUGAGGUGCGAAAGCGUGGGGAGCAAACA
This 427-nucleotide ribosomal RNA is filed under the name uncultured bacterium. RNAcentral describes it as "partial 16S ribosomal RNA". It matches the Rfam family "Bacterial small subunit ribosomal RNA", at positions 355 to 774 of the family's 1533-position model. The record is from RNAcentral.